UACGGGGGGAGCAAGCGUUGUUCGGAUUUACUGGGCGUAAAGGGCGCGUAGGCGGUCAGCACAAGUCAGUUGUGAAAUCUCCGGGCUUAACUCGGAAAGGUCAACUGAUACUGUGCGACUAGAGUGCGGAAGGGGCAACUGGAAUUCUCGGUGUAGCGGUGAAAUGCGUAGAUAUCGAGAGGAACACCUGCGGCGAAGGCGGGUUGCUGGGCCGACACUGACGCUGAUGCGCGAAAGCGAGGGGAGCGAACGGG
Molecule: ribosomal RNA, 254 nt
Filed under: uncultured bacterium
Lineage: Bacteria
Description: partial 16S ribosomal RNA
Rfam family: Bacterial small subunit ribosomal RNA
Source: RNAcentral